UUUAAUUAUCAUUUGUAUUAUGAGUUAAUCAUAUAUGCAAAAUCAGAUCAAUUUAUUAUAAAAAGCUACACAAAAGACACAAUCGGUCAUUACUUUUCUAGGAAUAGUGUAUUCUCUUGUCCGCUAUAUGCCACCGGACGUACAAACCUUUUUUAGUAUUCAAACAGUUUUUGCUAAUUUGUAUUUUAACUAAAGUUAACAUUGUAUACUGAUAAUACUCGCCUUUUGGAUUGUUCCCUAAUUUGUGUUCGUUCCAGCUAUUUUGUGAUCGUUACAGGUGUCUUGUGCCCGUCUUAUAUUAACAUGUAAAAUAAAUAAAUGUAUUAAUAAAAUACUUAUACCUUAACAUAAUAGACAAAGACUGGCCUCUAAAUGGCUAGAUUCCCCAGCAUAAGCAUUUUAUACAUUUAAAUCGCUUGCUAGUUUGUGUUCGUUUCAACUGUCUUGUGCUCGUCUUAUAUUUAUAUGUUUCUAACAAAGAUGCAUCCGAAUAAUUUAUAAACACAACUUAAAAUGCAACGGCUGAUAGUGGAUCUUUAGGACUUAACGACUUUGGCUCUAAUUGUUUAGAUUCAUCGGCAAAAAAUCAAAAUCAUUCCACGAUAAACGAUUCAUUUCAAUCGCUUAAUACUAAUUGUCCAGAUUCCACUCAAGGAUUCGAUUCCAGUUAUGCUCCGGAUAUAACUAACCGGUCCAGCAUUUUAAAUAAUUCCAACAUUAAACAAGUUUUUUCUUACACAACUGAAACUCCACUAAGUGAUGUAAGGGAUUUAAUUAUUCCAACUGCGAAAACCCAAACAAAUUGUAAGAAACAUUUUGCUUAUUUUGCAAUAAAUUGCAAACAAAAUUUGUUUGUCACUUGCAGAUUGUUCAUAAAAAUGAGCGGCAAGUACAAAAAUUUUUGUUCCUGUCGAAAAAUGACAAAACUCGCAGAUUACUUAUUGAUGAGAUUCGGAAAAAUGGUGAUUAUAUCCAUAAUAUCGAUGCAUCGUUAAAUAACGGAACUCUAAUCGUGCCCCGUCAAAAGCGUGUAAACUCUAAAAACGAAGCGGUUGAUUUCAUAUGUUGCAAGGGAUGUUCCGGAUUUUUCCCCAAAAGCACAAUACGGAGUCAUAUUAAUAAUUGCAAAGGCAGCGAUCAUAAGAAAGGAACUCGUGACUUGCUUAAACAAGGUCGCUCCAAAACCGGCUUCAUGCAUAAAAGUGCAAAUGACGUUGUACGCACAAAAAUAAUGUUUUAAAUGAUGAUCCUAUUUCUAGAAAUCUUAUAUAUGACGAAUUGAUUGUUUUAUUCGCAAACGCAGAAUCUAUGAAGCACGGCGAACUUCAGUACGAUAUGAUCAGAGCAAACAUGAGAUUGCUCAGCAGACUAUUACAUGAAAUAAAAAAAUCAGAAUUUAAUGAGAUACAGGAACUUAAAGACGCCAUCAAUCCCAAACAUUUGGAUUUGAUGAUAUCUUGUAUCAGAAA
RNAcentral lists this small RNA (1469 nucleotides) under Drosophila virilis. RNAcentral's name for it is "GJ26560". Lineage: Eukaryota; Metazoa; Arthropoda; Insecta; Diptera; Drosophilidae. The record is from RNAcentral.